GAUGAACGCUGGCGGCGUGCCUAAUACAUGCAAGUCGAGCGAACGGACGAGAAGCUUGCUUCUCUGAUGUUAGCGGCGGACGGGUGAGUAACACGUGGAUAACCUACCUAUAAGACUGGGAUAACUUCGGGAAACCGUAGCUAAUACCGGAUAAUAUUUUGAACCGCAUGGUUCAAAAGUGAAAGACGGUCUUGCUGUCACUUAUAGAUGGAUCCGCGCUGCAUUAGCUAGUUGGUAAGGUAACGGCUUACCAAGGCAACGAUGCAUAGCCGACCUGAGAGGGUGAUAGGCCACACUAGAACUGAGACACGGUCAAGACUCCUACGGGAGGCAGCAGAAGGGAAUCUUCCGCAAUGGGCGAAAGCCUGACGGAGCAACGCCGCGUGAGUGAUGAAGGUCUUCGGAUCGUAAAACUCUGUUAUUAGGGAAGAACAUAUGUGUAAGUAACUGUGCACAUCUUGACGGUACCUAAUCAGAAAGCCACGGCUAACUACGUG
RNAcentral lists this ribosomal RNA (497 nucleotides) under uncultured bacterium. RNAcentral's name for it is "partial 16S ribosomal RNA". It matches the Rfam family "Bacterial small subunit ribosomal RNA", at positions 28 to 507 of the family's 1533-position model. The record is from RNAcentral.